Molecule: ribosomal RNA, 521 nt
Filed under: Ascomycota sp. TA26-18
Lineage: Eukaryota; Fungi; Ascomycota
Description: eukaryotic LSU rRNA
Rfam family: 5.8S ribosomal RNA (bases 146-299)
Source: RNAcentral
GGGGGCUUCGAUGGGAGUCACUCCAUCGGGAUAGACACCCUUGCCUUUGAGUACCUUUUCGUUUCCUCGGCGGGCUCGAUGAGGGGGACAUCCAAAAAAACCCCUUGUAAUAGCAGUAUCUUCUGAAUAAAAAGCAAAUAGUCAAAACUUUCAACAACGGAUCUCUUGGUUCUGGCAUCGAUGAAGAACGCAGCGAAAUGCGAUAAGUAGUGUGAAUUGCAGAAUUCAGUGAAUCAUCGAAUCUUUGAACGCACAUUGCGCCCUUCGGUAUUCCGUUGGGCAUGCCUGUUCGAGCGUCAUUUGAAAAUUCAAGCUCAGCUUGGUGUUGGGUGCUUGUCCCCCCCCUUCCGCGGCGGGACUCACCUCAAAUGCAUUGGCGGCCGGCAUGUUGGCUUCGAGCGCAGUAGAAACGCGCCCGGCGUCUGGACGUGCCCGGUCUUCCACGAAGCCCACUUCUAACGCUUGACCUCGGAUCAGGUAGGGAUACCCGCUGAACUUAAGCAUAUCAAUAAGCGGAGGAA